RNAcentral lists this long non-coding RNA (610 nucleotides) under Homo sapiens (human). RNAcentral describes it as "HSALNT0044789". Lineage: Eukaryota; Metazoa; Chordata; Mammalia; Primates; Hominidae. The record is from RNAcentral.
CAGCAUUCUUCCUAUUUAAAGCUGCAUCGCUUGAAAAAAGUUUUCGCAGACUGUGCUGGAGCUGGUGCUGAAAAAGGGGGUUUGCAGAGGCUGCCCUGGGGCUGGUGCUGAAAGAAGAGCCCACAGCUGACUUCAUGGUGCUACAAUAACCUCAGAAUCUACUUUUCACUCUCAGGAGAACCCACAUGUCUAAUAUUUAGACAUGAUGGCAAACUGGGCGGAAGCAAGACCUCUCCUCAUUCUUAUUGUUUUAUUAGGGCAAUUUGUCUCAAUAAAAGCCCAGGAAGAAGACGAGGAUGAAGGAUAUGGUGAAGAAAUAGCCUGCACUCAGAAUGGCCAGAUGUACUUAAACAGGGACAUUUGGAAACCUGCCCCUUGUCAGAUCUGUGUCUGUGACAAUGGAGCCAUUCUCUGUGACAAGAUAGAAUGCCAGGAUGUGCUGGACUGUGCCGACCCUGUAACGCCCCCUGGGGAAUGCUGUCCUGUCUGUUCACAAACACCUGGAGGUGGCAAUACCAAUUUUGGUAGAGGAAGAAAGUCAACUCUUUGGAUUUGAUCUAUGUGGAAACUGAAGCAAAAUAGCUUUACAUAUUUCACACGCUGGAUUUUU